This is a long non-coding RNA of Otolemur garnettii (small-eared galago), 697 nucleotides long. RefSeq lists it as uncharacterized. The transcript has 5 exons. Lineage: Eukaryota; Metazoa; Chordata; Mammalia; Primates; Galagidae. The record is from RefSeq and is a predicted model, not a curated record.
UGUUUGGUGAUAGUCGUGUGUUACUUAGUGUUUUCGUCGCCUCAGUUGCGGAGCCUGAGCAAGGGCAGUUGGCAGGCCCCGCGCCGGCUUUGCACAGCAGUGGGUGUACAGUUGCCACUGCUGUUCUAGCUGGCCGGGGCCGAGUUCGAAUCCGCCACCCUGGGUAUACGGGGCCGGCGCCCUACCCACUGUGGCACAGGCGCUGCCCUCUUCCCAAGCUUCUGAUCCUCACAGCACCAUGAUGGAGUUUUAAGACGUCCAUCAGUGUGUUAUCCUUGAAUAAAGAAGGAAAGUUUUGGAAGCUCAGCCAGGGGCAGUGCUCCUUCACAGAUACUGCACUAACCUUAUGGCCACAGGCCUAAAGUUUGGAUCCCACUCCCAUGGGGACUUGGCUGUGGUGGUUAGAUGAUGGUUUCUACUACUGACCUUCAGGCUGUGACCGGUGGACAGCCAUGCCCUUUCUCCCUGGUUGCUGUGGAUUUUGCUGUCACAAAGGAUGUCUUCUAGCUGGUGCUGAGCAGAUUCUAAGAACUUCUUUCCUGUAUUAACCUGUGUGAGCAGCUGUAGUCAUUGGAGAAAAAAACUCACCUAGAAAUUUGGGGGCACUUGUGGGACAAUUAGAUAGAUACCUUUAACUUUAUCUUGUACAACUGUCUGGUUUUAUCUGAAGAAUUACAAUAAAAUAAUUGAAAGCAAA